RNAcentral lists this ribosomal RNA (1014 nucleotides) under Pediococcus pentosaceus. Its description in RNAcentral is "bacterial SSU rRNA". It matches the Rfam family "Bacterial small subunit ribosomal RNA", at positions 492 to 1509 of the family's 1533-position model. Lineage: Bacteria; Bacillati; Bacillota; Bacilli; Lactobacillales; Lactobacillaceae. The record is from RNAcentral.
CACGGCUAACUACGUGCCAGCAGCCGCGGUAAUACGUAGGUGGCAAGCGUUAUCUGGAUUUAUUGGGCGUAAAGCGAGCGCAGGCGGUCUUUUAAGUCUAAUGUGAAAGCUUUCGGCUCAACCGAAGAAGUGCAUUGGAAACUGGGAGACUUGAGUGCAGAAGAGGACAGUGGAACUCCAUGUGUAGCGGUGAAAUGCGUAGAUAUAUGGAAGAACACCAGUGGCGAAGGCGGCUGUCUGGUCUGCAACUGACGCUGAGGCUCGAAAGCAUGGGUAGCGAACAGGAUUAGAUACCCUGGUAGUCCAUGCCGUAAACGAUGAUUACUAAGUGUUGGAGGGUUUCCGCCCUUCAGUGCUGCAGCUAACGCAUUAAGUAAUCCGCCUGGGGAGUACGACCGCAAGGUUGAAACUCAAAAGAAUUGACGGGGGCCCGCACAAGCGGUGGAGCAUGUGGUUUAAUUCGAAGCUACGCGAAGAACCUUACCAGGUCUUGACAUCUUCUGACAGUCUAAGAGAUUAGAGGUUCCCUUCGGGGACAGAAUGACAGGUGGUGCAUGGUUGUCGUCAGCUCGUGUCGUGAGAUGUUGGGUUAAGUCCCGCAACGAGCGCAACCCUUAUUACUAGUUGCCAGCAUUAAGUUGGGCACUCUAGUGAGACUGCCGGUGACAAACCGGAGGAAGGUGGGGACGACGUCAAAUCAUCAUGCCCCUUAUGACCUGGGCUACACACGUGCUACAAUGGAUGGUACAACGAGUCGCGAGACCGCGAGGUUAAGCUAAUCUCUUAAAACCAUUCUCAGUUCGGACUGUAGGCUGCAACUCGCCUACACGAAGUCGGAAUCGCUAGUAAUCGCGGAUCAGCAUGCCGCGGUGAAUACGUUCCCGGGCCUUGUACACACCGCCCGUCACACCAUGAGAGUUUGUAACACCCAAAGCCGGUGGGGUAACCUUUUAGGAGCUAGCCGUCUAAGGUGGGACAGAUGAUUAGGGGAAGUCGAACAAGAGCCGUCACUGC